GGCCGUCCUGUAACCGAUAACCCCCGUUAAACCUCACCCUCCCUUGUUAAUCCCGCCUAUAUACCGCCGUCGUCAGCCUACCCUGUGAAGGACUAGUAGUGAGCAAGAUUGGUAAAACCCAAAACGUCAGGUCGAGGUGUAGUAAAUGAGAGGGGAAGAGAUGGGCUACAUUUCCUGCAUCAGGAAAUACGAACAAUGAACUGAAAUAAGCAUUAGAAGGUGGAUUUAGCAGUAAGCAGAUAAACAGAGUGUUCUGCUGAAGUUAAUGGCAAUAAAGCACGUACAUAUCGCCCGUCACUCUCCCCGAGCCUAACGUAUUUAAAUAUACCUAAAAAACCACACCUGCAAAGGGGAGGCAAGUCGUAACACGGUAAGCGUACCGGAAGGUGUGCUUGGACAAAU
Molecule: ribosomal RNA, 402 nt
Filed under: Pomacentrus coelestis (neon damselfish)
Lineage: Eukaryota; Metazoa; Chordata; Actinopteri; Pomacentridae
Description: partial 12S ribosomal RNA
Rfam family: Bacterial small subunit ribosomal RNA
Source: RNAcentral